This 256-nucleotide unclassified non-coding RNA is filed under the name uncultured fungus. Its description in RNAcentral is "partial contains 5.8S ribosomal RNA, internal transcribed spacer 2, and large subunit ribosomal RNA". The stretch from base 1 to 52 matches the Rfam family "5.8S ribosomal RNA", at positions 103 to 154 of the family's 154-position model. Lineage: Eukaryota; Fungi. The record is from RNAcentral.
AACGCACAUUGCGCCCUUUGGUAUUCCGAAGGGCAUGCCUGUUCGAGCGUCAUUAUCAACCAUCAAGCCUGGCUUGUCGUUGGACCUUUUUGUCGGUGAAACACACGACAGGUCCGAAAGAUAGUGACGGUGUCGUGUUUGACCCUAGAUGCAACGAGCUUUCAUAGCACGCAUUGAAGUGGUCGGUCGGCCCGGUCUUAACCAUCAUUUUUCUCAGGUUGACCUCGGAUCAGGUAGGAAUACCCGCUGAACUUAA